GACGAACGCUGGCGGCGUGCUUAACACAUGCAAGUCGAACGGAAAGGCCCUGCUUUUGUGGGGUGCUCGAGGGGCGAACGGGUGAGUAACACGUGAGUAACCUGCCCUUGACUUUGGGAUAACUUCAGGAAACUGGGGCUAAUACCGGAUAGGAGCUCCUGCUGCAGGGUGGGGGUUGGAAAUUUUCGGCGGUUGGGGAUGGACUCGCGGCUUAUCAGCUUGUUGGUGGGGUAGUGGCUUACCAAGGCUUUGACGGGUAGCCGGCCUGAGAGGGUGACCGGCCACAUUGGGACUGAGAUACGGCCCAGACUCCUACGGGAGGCAGCAGUGGGGAAUAUUGCACAAUGGGCGGAAGCCUGAUGCAGCAACGCCGCGUGCGGGAUGACGGCCUUCGGGUUGUAAACCGCUUUCGCCUGUGACGAAGCGUGAGUGACGGUAAUGGGUAAAGAAGCACCGGCUAACUACGUG
Molecule: ribosomal RNA, 468 nt
Filed under: uncultured bacterium
Lineage: Bacteria
Description: partial 16S ribosomal RNA
Rfam family: Bacterial small subunit ribosomal RNA
Source: RNAcentral